GACGAACGCUGGCGGCGUGCUUAACACAUGCAAGUCGAACGGGUUGAAGUGAUAGCUUGCUAUUAUGGAUGCUAGUGGCAAACGGGUGAGUAACGCGUAGGCAACCUGCCCUUCAGAUGGGGACAACACUUCGAAAGAGGUGCUAAUACCGAAUGACGUAUCCAUUCCGCAUGGAGAGGAUACCAAAGGCCGGGCAACCGGUCACUGAAGGAUGGGCCUGCGUCUGAUUAGCUAGUUGGUGGGGUAACGGCUCACCAAGGCGACGAUCAGUAGCCGGUCUGAGAGGAUGAACGGCCACAUUGGGACUGAGACACGGCCCAA
This 321-nucleotide ribosomal RNA is filed under the name uncultured bacterium. RNAcentral describes it as "bacterial SSU rRNA". It matches the Rfam family "Bacterial small subunit ribosomal RNA", at positions 28 to 334 of the family's 1533-position model. The record is from RNAcentral.